This is an RNA transcript of Doryrhamphus excisus (bluestripe pipefish), 1251 nucleotides long. It is a transcript of the gene named adaptor related protein complex 1 subunit sigma 3b, with no coding region annotated. The record is from RefSeq and is a predicted model, not a curated record. Lineage: Eukaryota; Metazoa; Chordata; Actinopteri; Syngnathiformes; Syngnathidae.
UACGCUGAAUCAACCAACAGGCACCGCCCCGUGGCCAGGAAGGGCGGAGCUUAGCAACUUUCACUGAGACUGCUACCAACAGACGUUGGACGACGGCUACAGAUUAAGGAUAUGUGUUCCAAAAGGGUAUUUUAACCCUUUGGUAGGGUUAAAGUACGUUUUAAUAACUCUGGCACCCUAAAAGCUGGCAAAAUGAUGCGCUUCCUGCUGCUGUUUAGCCGCCAGGGCAAGUUGAGAUUGCAGAAAUGGUACACGCCCAUGUCUGAUCGGGAGAAGAAAAAAAUCAUCAGGGACAUGACCACAGCCGUGUUGGCACGGCAACCACGCACCUGUAACUUCCUGCAGUGGAAAGACCUGAAGAUUAUUUACAAGAGAUAUGCAAGCUUGUAUUUCUGCUUGGCGAUAGAGAACCAAGAGAAUGAGCUGCUAGCUUUGGAGGUUAUUCAUCGCUAUGUGGAGCUGCUGGACAGAUAUUUUGGCAAUGUGUGUGAGCUGGACAUAAUCUUUAACUUUGAGAAGGCCUAUUUUAUCCUGGACGAGUUCCUCCUGGGAGGGGAAAUACAAGAAACCUCCAAACAGAUUGUGAACCGCUCCAUUGAAGCCUCAGACAUGCUACAAGAGCGUUAGUUGCAAGCGAGAGACAGGUUUUGCCUGGAAGUAGGGGGCCUACUGUAAUUUUAGUGACACUUCCUGCUCCCCAUUAAGGCUAUGGCGGCUGUGUGUGGUCAAGUCGUUUCCUGGGAUGGCAACAGUGAUUGGUAUGAGGUGGAGCUGUUUGGAUGACCUUGAAUAUGGACAGACAGACAAUGGAGGAAUAUAUGAGCAAACCGGCAUUUUGAUGCAGGAAAAAGGGGACGUGAAGGUACUCAGGAGAAUGCAGAAGCCAAAUAUACUGUGUAUGAGUCAAAGACUCUAUGGGAACUAGAGUAACUUCUUCAAAGCAUUUUUAUUGGAAGAAACUGGAAUAUCUGCCGUACAAGUAACUAUAUUUCUUUCUCUAGCACUGUUUUGGAAGUCGAAGGGAUGUUCUUUUUAACUGCAAACACAAGAGUCGAGGUAAAAAUAUUGUCGUGAAGAAAUUAUUUUAGAGAUUUGCUGAAUGUUAUUGCUAUUAAUAAUAUAUUGUAAUUGAUAAUUUAUGAUUUGUGUCUAUUUAAAGUAAGCCAUUCCUGAAUUAAAUUGAUAUAUUUGUUCUGUAUUAAUCAGAUUUAUUGGUGUUUAUUCUUUGUGCUAGCGUGGGUGUGCAAAACA